RNAcentral lists this small nuclear RNA (231 nucleotides) under Octodon degus (degu). RNAcentral describes it as "7SK RNA (ENSODEG00000022604.1)". The stretch from base 1 to 203 matches the Rfam family "7SK RNA". From Rfam's summary of the family: 7SK was discovered as an abundant small nuclear RNA in the mid-70s but a possible function has only recently been suggested. The record is from RNAcentral. Lineage: Eukaryota; Metazoa; Chordata; Mammalia; Rodentia; Octodontidae.
GGAUGUGAGGGUGAUCUGACUGGACAUCUGUCACCAGGGUUCAUUGCCAGGGUUAAUAUGUUUGUUCUGGCUGGCUUGACGGGUGUCUUCUUCCUCCCUCAACACUAUGUGAGUCUCUCCCAAAAAUGCACAUUGUGUCAAGUGAUCAACCACUCCCAACAGAAGAUUAUUGGGCUGGGGAGAUAGCUCAGUGGUAUAAGUGCCUGUCUGGCAAGCACAGGGUGCUGAGUU